AGAGUUUGAUCCUGGCUCAGGAUGAACGCUGGCGGCGUGCUUAACACAUGCAAGUCGAGCGGAGGUAAGAUAAAAGCUUGCUUUUAACUUAUCUUAGCGGCGGACGGGUGAGUAACGUGUGGGCAACCUGCCUCAUACAGAGGGAUAAUCAUGUGAAAACGUGACUAAUACCUCAUGUCAUUGCUAGAAGGCAUCUUCAGGCAAGAAAAGGAGUAAUCCGGUAUGAGAUGGGCCCGCAUCUGAUUAGCUAGUUGGUGAGAUAAUAGCCCACCAAGGCAACGAUCAGUAGCCGACCUGAGAGGGUGAUCGGCCACAUUGGGACUGAGACACGGCCCAAACUCCUACGGGAGGCAGCAGUGGGGAAUAUUGCACAAUGGGGGAAACCCUGAUGCAGCAACGCCGCGUGAAGGAAGACGGUUUUCGGAUUGUAAACUUCUAUCAAUAGGGACGAAAGAAAUGACGGUACCUAAAUAAGAAGCCCCGGCUAACUACGUGCCAGCAGCCGCGGU
Molecule: ribosomal RNA, 509 nt
Filed under: uncultured bacterium
Lineage: Bacteria
Description: bacterial SSU rRNA
Rfam family: Bacterial small subunit ribosomal RNA
Source: RNAcentral